GACGAACGCUGGCGGCGUGCCUAAUACAUGCAAGUAGAACGCUGAAGGAGGAGCUUGCUUCUCUGGAUGAGUUGCGAACGGGUGAGUAACGCGUAGGUAACCUGCCUGGUAGCGGGGGAUAACUAUUGGAAACGAUAGCUAAUACCGCAUAAUAGCAGUUGUUGCAUGACAACUGUUUGAAAGGUGCAAUUGCACCACUGCCAGAUGGACCUGCGUUGUAUUAGCUAGUUGGUGGGGUAACGGCUCACCAAGGCGACGAUACAUAGCCGACCUGAGAGGGGGAUCGGCCACACUGGGACUGAGACACGGCCCAGACUCCUACGGGAGGCAGCAGUAGGGAAUCUUCGGCAAUGGACGGAAGUCUGACCGAGCAACGCCGCGUGAGUGAAGAAGGUUUUCGGAUCGUAAAGCUCUGUUGUAAGAGAAGAACGAGUGUGAGAGUGGAAAGUUCACACUGUGACGGUAUCUUACCAGAAAGGGACGGCUAACUACGUG
Molecule: ribosomal RNA, 495 nt
Filed under: uncultured bacterium
Lineage: Bacteria
Description: partial 16S ribosomal RNA
Rfam family: Bacterial small subunit ribosomal RNA
Source: RNAcentral